CUCGUAGGUGGCCAACUAAGUCGGACGUGAAAUCCCUCAGCUUAACUGGGGAACUGCGUCCGAUACUGGAUGGCUUGAGUUUGGGAGAGGGAUGCGGAAUUCCAGGUGUAGCGGUGAAAUGCGUAGAUAUCUGGAGGAACACCGGUGGCGAAGGCGGCAUCCUGGACCAACACUGACACUGAGGAGCGAAAGCCAGGGGAGCAAACG
Molecule: ribosomal RNA, 207 nt
Filed under: uncultured bacterium
Lineage: Bacteria
Description: partial 16S ribosomal RNA
Rfam family: Bacterial small subunit ribosomal RNA
Source: RNAcentral